This 500-nucleotide ribosomal RNA is filed under the name uncultured bacterium. Its description in RNAcentral is "partial 16S ribosomal RNA". It matches the Rfam family "Bacterial small subunit ribosomal RNA", at positions 30 to 523 of the family's 1533-position model. The record is from RNAcentral.
AUUGAACGCUGGCGGAAUGCUUUACACAUGCAAGUCGAACGGCAGCACGGACUUCGGUCUGGUGGCGAGUGGCGAACGGGUGAGUAAUGUAUCGGAACGUGCCCAGUCGUGGGGGAUAACGUAGUGAAAAUUACGCUAAUACCGCAUACGAUCUAUGGAUGAAAGCGGGGGAUCGCAAGAUCUCGCGCGAUUGGACCGGCCGAUAUCAGAUUAGGUAGGCGGUGGGGUAAAGGCCCACCAAGCCAACGAUCUGUAGAUGGUCUGAGAGGACGACCAGCCACACUGGAACUGAGACACGGUCCAGACUCCUACGGGAGGCAGCAGUGGGGAAUUUUGGACAAUGGGCGAAAGCCUGAUCCAGCCAUUCCGCGUGCAGGAUGAAGGCCCUCGGGUUGUAAACUGCUUUUGUACAGAACGAAAAGGUUUCUACUAAUACUAGGAGCUCAUGACGGUACUGUAAGAAUAAGCACCGGCUAACUACGUGCCAGCAGCCGCCGCCG